CUGCCCCAUAGGAGCGGGGCCAACGGUCGCCCUGGCUGGGUCGCCCUGACUGUCCGACGCGCCCUGGCUCAGCCCCAGCAGAGAUCACGUCCUGACGGAAUGGAAGGAGCAGCUCCACCUCCCCGAGGCUUCCGUGGACUCCGCACACACACGACCACCAGUCUUCAGUCAUGUGCCAUGGAGACUUUGGUCCCAACCAGUGUCUGCCUUUUCUAGAAACUGGAGACCCUGAUUCAAAUGGCAAGAUGUGUUAGUUCCCAUUUGCCUUGCAAUAACCCUAUGCUUCACAAAGAUUCCAGACUAGGGGUUAUUCCUCACCCAAUUUCAUGCAUCUGGAACACAGAGUACCAGAAUACUCUCACAUUUUAUUUCAAGGCACUCUCCAGCAGAAAGUAUAAUAAGAAUAAACUACUUUGUAAAAUGUGCCAUUUUUAUAAAGACAACAGUGAGAUCCAAAAUGAGACAAAGUAGAAUUAUACUGAAUGUUCAUUAUCCCAAAGUGGCUUAAUUUCAUUUGCUUGCUGCAAAGACAAAGACUGUAAAAAGGAGCAAAGAAAGUGUGCAAAGCACUUCCUUGGAAGACCUCGUCCACUAACAGAUCACAAGAAAAGCAAGUGCAGCCCCUCACACGAAAGGAAGGCAGGCAGUAACAUCGGAGACUUCCCAGUCUCCCCGACGUCUGCUCACGCUGGAUGCUGGCACUGGCUUAUCAUGAAGGGAAGGAGAGCAGUAACGCUGGAGACUUCCCAGUCUCCCCGACAUCUGCUCAUGCUGGAUGCUGGCACUGGCUUAUCAGCUACCCACUGGCUGAAAUGGAAAUCAACACCAGCACUUCACGUGACAGCCACAUAGUGACAGUCCAGGCACGUGAAUGACCCCAUUUGUGUUCCCCUAGUUUGUGGAGAGACUUCCUAUUGCUGUGCUUCUCACACCCUCUAGUUUUAAGAAUAUGUCAAAUUGAUGAUAUAUUAUGCAAGUAAACGAUCUUAUAUACACGAAUAGUGAAAGGUAAUUAGGAAUAUGCUGAAUCACCUGGUGCUGUUGAAGAAAACGUGCAGAUGCAUCUCUCUCACCUCACCGCUUUCUUCUAGCUUCUGCUAUAUUUCAUCCCCUAUUAGUUACUCUCUUUCCCUCCAACUUAUCUUCAUCCUCAAACCUCAGAGGAAAUAAUCGCAAGGGUCACAUCUGGGAGAGUGGUAGUUGGAAGGCAGCAUUUCUAGGGGGUAGGGAAGCACCACCUCCCCAGCACCGCAUCCUUACAAAAUCUAAAGGGCAACCAAUGGGUCAGUCUGGAGGCCGCCAUGCUUCUGUAACAACCGCAGCAAUUUUAUCUUUGCAUCUCUUACUGGAUUAUAUAAGCCAUCUAGGUAAAGUAAACACUGCCAAAAGCUCCUACCCACUGGAAAGAGAAGUAGAGGGCUUGAAAACACAACUUCGCCAGGCUCCAACACAGAAAGAAGCAUCAUUCAGAGGCGAGAACAAUGCUGUGGACGCCUCCUGAUCAACACUCAAGGGAUGCAGGAGCUCGGUGAGGACGGUCCCUCAGAGGCAGAUGACCCGACCGGCUCAGGUACUGGCAAGCUGGCCACCAGACCUAGACCAUGCUUGUCGAGAUGCCUUGCUACUUGAGAAUAAGGCGAGAUCCCAGAUUCAAGUGCUAGCAGCAUUCUGCCCCUCAGAUGCGCCGGCAGGCUCCACUGGCUCCAAAGGACGCCCUUGGAUGGGUCAGCAAUUCCACGAACAUCCACUAAACCAACACUUAGCACUGCUCAGUGGGGUCAACAGUGCCCGGUGGUCCGCUGCAAUGAAUCCAAACACAUCUGUGCCCAGAGCUACAAGGCCAUGUGCCCAUCAACUGUCCCGACUCGCAGGCAAUGCACGCAGCCCUGCACCACUUCCCUCCUGCCCACCACGGAGCAGGGGACAGUUCUGUGAGUGAACAGAAGCAGGACAUCGGCAGAGCCAGCUGACGAUGGAGGAUGAGAUGCUGCCGAGAUGCUGGAGGGCAGAUCACUGAGGAUGAACACGCGUUCCUUCCGCCAACAGUCGUGCACCACCUGCUGGGGCUCUGCGUCCCCACCGGCCAAGGGCUGCCUCGCUCUAAUGAAGGCCGCUCACUCAGCACAGGGCCAAGUGGCCUUU
This 2142-nucleotide long non-coding RNA is filed under the name Homo sapiens (human). RNAcentral describes it as "HSALNT0270391". The record is from RNAcentral. Lineage: Eukaryota; Metazoa; Chordata; Mammalia; Primates; Hominidae.